Molecule: ribosomal RNA, 253 nt
Filed under: uncultured bacterium
Lineage: Bacteria
Description: partial 16S ribosomal RNA
Rfam family: Bacterial small subunit ribosomal RNA
Source: RNAcentral
UACGUAGGGUGCAAGCGUUAAUCGGAAUUACUGGGCGUAAAGCGUGCGCAGGCGGUCUUGCAAGUCAGAUGUGAAAUCCCCGGGCUCAACCUGGGAACUGCAUUUGUGACUGCAAGGCUGGAGUGCGGCAGAGGGGGAUGGAAUUCCGCGUGUAGCAGUGAAAUGCGUAGAUAUGCGGAGGAACACCGAUGGCGAAGGCAAUCCCCUGGGCCUGCACUGACGCUCAUGCACGAAAGCGUGGGGAGCAAACAGG